CCUGUCGUGUGUGCACUCAUUCCCAAGGGG
RNAcentral lists this small RNA (30 nucleotides) under Bombyx mori (domestic silkworm). RNAcentral describes it as "ovarian small RNA-14081". The record is from RNAcentral. Lineage: Eukaryota; Metazoa; Arthropoda; Insecta; Lepidoptera; Bombycidae.